This 497-nucleotide ribosomal RNA is filed under the name uncultured bacterium. RNAcentral's name for it is "partial 16S ribosomal RNA". It matches the Rfam family "Bacterial small subunit ribosomal RNA", at positions 28 to 507 of the family's 1533-position model. The record is from RNAcentral.
GAUGAACGCUGGCGGCGUGCCUAAUACAUGCAAGUCGAGCGAACGAAGGAGGCUCUUGCUUUUCUUAUGUGAGCGGCGGACGGGUGAGUAACACGUAGCUAACCUACCUUUAAGACUGGGAUCACUUCAGGAACCCUGAUCUAACACCGGAUAAUAUUUUGAACCUCAUGGUUCUUCUGUGAAAGCCGUUCUUGCUGUCCCUUAUAGGUGUAUCCUAGCUGCAUUAGCUAGUUGGUACGGUAACGGCCUACCAAGGCGACGAUGAGUAGCUGACCUGAGAGGAUGAUCAGCCACACUGGAACUGAGACACGGUCCAGACUCCUACGGGAGGCAGCAGUGGGGAAUAUUGGACAAUGGGCGAAAGCCUGACCGAGCCACGCCGCGUGAGUGAAGAAGGUCUUCGGAUCGUAAAACACUGUAAGUAGGGAGGAAGGGAAGUAAGAUAAAACGUUCAUGUUUUGACGGUACCAAAACAGAAAGCAACGGCUAACUACGUG